GGGGGGGGCUAUACAUGCAGUCGAGCGAAUGGAUUAAGAGCUUGCUCUUAUGAAGUUAGCGGCGGACGGGUGAGUAACACGUGGGUAACCUGCCCAUAAGACUGGGAUAACUCCGGGAAACCGGGGCUAAUACCGGAUAACAUUUUGAACUGCAUGGUUCGAAAUUGAAAGGCGGCUUCGGCUGUCACUUAUGGAUGGACCCGCGUCGCAUUAGCUAGUUGGUGAGGUAACGGCUCACCAAGGCAACGAUGCGUAGCCGACCUGAGAGGGUGAUCGGCCACACUGGGACUGAGACACGGCCCAGACUCCUACGGGAGGCAGCAGUAGGGAAUCUUCCGCAAUGGACGAAAGUCUGACGGAGCAACGCCGCGUGAGUGAUGAAGGCUUUCGGGUCGUAAAACUCUGUUGUUAGGGAAGAACAAGUGCUAGUUGAAUAAGCUGGCACCUUGACGGUACCUAACCAGAAAGCCACGGCUAACUACGUGCCAGCAGCCGCGGUAAUACGUAGGUGGCAAGCGUUAUCCGGAAUUAUUGGGCGUAAAGCGCGCGCAGGUGGUUUCUUAAGUCUGAUGUGAAAGCCCACGGCUCAACCGUGGAGGGUCAUUGGAAACUGGGAGACUUGAGUGCAGAAGAGGAAAGUGGAAUUCCAUGUGUAGCGGUGAAAUGCGUAGAGAUAUGGAGGAACACCAGUGGCGAAGGCGACUUUCUGGUCUGUAACUGACACUGAGGCGCGAAAGCGUGGGGAGCAAACAGGAUUAA
This 759-nucleotide ribosomal RNA is filed under the name Bacillus cereus. Its description in RNAcentral is "bacterial SSU rRNA". It matches the Rfam family "Bacterial small subunit ribosomal RNA", at positions 41 to 781 of the family's 1533-position model. The record is from RNAcentral. Lineage: Bacteria; Bacillati; Bacillota; Bacilli; Caryophanales; Bacillaceae.